Molecule: ribosomal RNA, 492 nt
Filed under: uncultured bacterium
Lineage: Bacteria
Description: partial 16S ribosomal RNA
Rfam family: Bacterial small subunit ribosomal RNA
Source: RNAcentral
AGUGAACGCUGGCGGUAGGCCUAACACAUGCAAGUCGAACGGCAGCACAGUAAGAGCUUGCUCUUACGGGUGGCGAGUGGCGGACGGGUGAGGAAUACAUCGGAAUCUACUUUUGCGUGGGGGAUAGCGUAGGGAAACUUACGCUAAUACCGCAUACGACCUACGGGUGAAAGCAGGGGAUCUUCGGACCUUGCGCGAUUGAAUGAGCCGAUGUCGGAUUAGCUAGUUGGCGGGGUAAAGGCCCACCAAGGCGACGAUCCGUAGCUGGUCUGAGAGGAUGAUCAGCCACACUGGAACUGAGACACGGUCCAGACUCCUACGGGAGGCAGCAGUGGGGAAUAUUGGACAAUGGGCGCAAGCCUGAUCCAGCCAUACCGCGUGGGUGAAGAAGGCCUUCGGGCUGUAAAGCCCUUUCGUUGGGAAAGAAAAGCAGCAGGUUAAUACCCCGCUGUUCUGACGGUACCCAAAGAAUAAGCACCGGCUAACUUCGUG